AUUGAACGCUGGCGGCAGGCCUAACACAUGCAAGUCGAGCGGAUGACAGGAGCUUGCUCCUGAAUUCAGCGGCGGACGGGUGAGUAAUGCCUAGGAAUCUGCCUGGUAGUGGGGGACAACGUUUCGAAAGGAACGCUAAUACCGCAUACGUCUACGGGAGAAAGCAGGGGACCUUCGGGCCUUGCGCUAUCAGAUGAGCCUAGGUCGGAUUAGCUAGUUGGUGAGGUAAUGGCUCACCAAGGCGACGAUCCGUAACUGGUCUGAGAGGAUGAUCAGUCACACUGGAACUGAGACACGGUCCAGACUCCUACGGGAGGCAGCAGUGGGGAAUAUUGGACAAUGGGCGAAAGCCUGAUCCAGCCAUGCCGCGUGUGUGAAGAAGGUCUUCGGAUUGUAAAGCACUUUAAGUUGGGAGGAAGGGCAUUAACCUAAUACGUUAGUGUUUUGACGUAGCCGACAGAAA
RNAcentral lists this ribosomal RNA (463 nucleotides) under Pseudomonas fluorescens. Its description in RNAcentral is "bacterial SSU rRNA". It matches the Rfam family "Bacterial small subunit ribosomal RNA", at positions 30 to 487 of the family's 1533-position model. The record is from RNAcentral. Lineage: Bacteria; Pseudomonadati; Pseudomonadota; Gammaproteobacteria; Pseudomonadales; Pseudomonadaceae.